UAAUCCGUCAUUGGGGAGUAGCCUCUCUCGACCAAUCGAGAGGGAUGCGUCAACAGACUUGGGUCAGCAUGGCUCAUGGCGCAUCCGGCAGUGGUCGCUUGGCGAGACCUUUGGUUUUAGCGUCCGACACCUGGGGGGUGGGCGGGGCGUGAAGCCAUUGGUUACGUUCAGCCCA
This 175-nucleotide small RNA is filed under the name Magnetospirillum molischianum. RNAcentral's name for it is "Phaeospirillum molischianum Manganese sequence". It matches the Rfam family "Manganese Mn2+ riboswitch aptamer (yybP-ykoY)". Rfam says of the family: This RNA was originally discovered in E. coli during a large scale screen and was named SraF. The family was later found to exist upstream of related families of protein genes in many bacteria, including the the yybP and ykoK genes in B. subtilis. Lineage: Bacteria; Pseudomonadati; Pseudomonadota; Alphaproteobacteria; Rhodospirillales; Rhodospirillaceae. The record is from RNAcentral.